UUUAACAAAUUUAAAAUGUUAUGAAAAAAAAAAUAUUUCAAUUUCAACUUUUUUCAAAAAUAAUGAUAUUAUUUGUACUAAUGAAAAACGCACGAGUUCAAACCAAAAUAUGUCUUUUCAUUAUGACGAGUUUUCAAACUGUUCAAUUUACUUUGAACAUAACAUCUCACAUUUAAUUAAUAUAAGCAAACAAUUAUCUGAAAAGAAAAACGAAUACUUAAAAAAUAAACAAAAAACAAUUUUGAAAGAAAUUUUAAUGUUUAAAAAAAAAAAUGUUUUUUCUUACAAAAAAAUUAAUGAAGCUUUUACUUAUUUCUUAUGGGACAAUAAUAAUAAUAAUAAUAAUAAUAAUAAUAGUAGUAGUAGUAGUAGUAGUAGUAGUAGUUGUAGUAAAACACAAAUAUAUAGAGGUAAAGGCGUUUUUGUAGCUUUUAAUGAUGACAUAUAUAAUAACAAAAAUAAAUUAAAUUUAAACAUGUAUUAUUAUCAAAGUGUUGGCGAUUUAUAUGAAAUAAAUAUGAUAAUGGGUGAGGUUCAUACAUUUUUUCAAAAUUAUUUGGACGAAUUGAAAAAUGCAAAAAAUGAGAAAAGUGCAGAAAUGGACCUUAAUACGUUAUCUUCAACGGUAGAUAAUGCAGACAAUGAAGCUUCAUGUUUAUGUCAAGACACGCAGGUGCAUGCUACUAGUAAUACAUGUAACAGUAGCAACACAUGUGACAGUAGCAACACAUGUAACAAUAGCAACAGCGAAAUGUACAAUUAUGAAAACUUGUCCGAUUUGGAAAACUACUUGUCUGAUGCAUCUUCUAGUAGUGAAGACAACAAUUAUAAUAUAAAUAAUAUAUUAACAGGUCAGGACGUUUUUACUUCUAGUUUUUUAUUUAUAGGUAAAGAUAUAAACGUAGAACAUAUAAAAAGUAAAUUAAAUGAUUGCUUAUAUUGUUAGUUACUUAUACAUAACGACUAUGCAUUUAAAAAGAAAAAAAAAAAAAAUACACUUGUGUUUAAGAACUUAUAAGUAGUAUUGUAUAUUUUUACAUCAUACACCAAGCACUAUAAAUGUACUUUUUUUUUUUUUUUUUUAUUUAAAC
This 1091-nucleotide long non-coding RNA is filed under the name Piliocolobus tephrosceles (Ugandan red Colobus). RNAcentral describes it as "lncRNA (ENSPTEG00000002024.1)". Lineage: Eukaryota; Metazoa; Chordata; Mammalia; Primates; Cercopithecidae. The record is from RNAcentral.